GAUGCACCUGGUUUCCUGCAAAUGUGAGCCCCGUGGAAGUAUUACAGGAGUCUGUGAUGAUGAAGCCUUCAACUUUGCUAUUUCAUGGUCCCAUCCUGGCAGCCCUCAGGAACGGCCAAGGAGUUGCGGUGUGAUGACGGUGUCAGCUGCCGAGCAGGCCUGAAGCGUGCGGCCCGAGGAGCUGUGCCCUCACAGGAGAACGGUGAGUGGGAAAAUUGUCACGUUUUGACCGCCGUGCUGCUAAGAUUGUGUGCUCACAUUUGGUUUCCUUUCUCUUGGCAGACUCAGAGACAACAGCCUGGUGUCAGCAGGGACUUCCCAGACAGCGGGUCCGCUUUCUUUCCACCCAGCACGGAUCGGCACGCCCACCUGUCCGAGAGAUAAGUAGAGGGCUACGACCCACAGAGGGGAUGAAAGCGGGGUCUGGGUCACAACUCACAGGGAGGGGAUUUCGAUUUGUCUUUGGAGACGAGGAUGUCCAAGCAGUGCCCCCUUAGGCCCUGUAAAGGGAAAGUAUCGCUUUUGAUCAGAGUGCCAAGGUGCACAGGGCAGAGCAGGUCCGGUGUGUAUCGUGUCACUUGUCUAUCGUGCAUUCUGUGUUUUUUGUAUAUGUCAUGUCUAUUACCUCAGGCCUUUGAGGGGCCUAUCAGAAACCAUUCUUGGCAUCUGUGAUCCGCGUUCUUUAUUCUGGCACCAAUGCCAUAGAACUUUUGACUUAGGAGCUCAGACUGCCAUCAGACUCGCAUCUCUUCUUUAGAAGCAUCCAGUCAGAUGUCUUCUCAGGUCUUGUCCCGAGCUGUACGGGAAGCCGCUCCCUGCAAGGGAUCCAUUACGGCAGGUUAGGACUUGUCAGAAUGCGAGCUCUAGGCAGAGGAUUCUGACCGUAGGAUUCCCAGGCAUCCAUCUUGGCAGUUCUUGAGAUAAAUCAUUCAGUUAGCAUCUUCUUCCUCCAGGCUUCUCUGAGCCUCAUCAGCUCUCCAUCGGUCUCACCUCGGUCAUCUCAUUCUUCAUUCUCUCAGUCCUUGCAGUCAUUUUCCUUGCCAAGAGAUUUCUGUCCGUGUUGUGUCCCCCUUGUUUGUCACGUCCCGUCCUGUGUCACGGGUGUCUGCACGCAUUUGUGCCGGAGCCGCUCUGCCCUGCCGCAUAGCCUGGUGCAAUAGGGGAAGUCCCGGGGCCUUGUAGUUGGUAAUGUGGGGUGUGGUUGGACUCUAGAUGGCAUUUGUAGAUGGACACAAGAUGUUUGCAGCUGGGAAGCUAUCCUGGAGACCUUUGACGUUUGUUCUUACUUGUUUUUCAGAUUCAUCUGGAUAAUAUCUGUGCACGAGGGCCCCAUCCUGGGUCUGGGAGUCCCGCGGAGCAGGUCCGUCACUGUUUGUCUCUGCAGCAGAAGUGUAAAUGGUGACUCUGUUACAGCGCUGUUCUUUGUCUUUUUCGGAAGUCAAGGCAGAGAGCCACAGUCAAGGCCAAGUAGGCAAGGUGGUCCACUUGCCAUCUCUCCUGGCCGAGCAUGCCCGAUGUCAGGUGCUGUCACCGCUCCAGGCAUGCCAAAGAACAGAGGAGAGCAGGUAUCCUUUGAGCAGCCUCUGGAGUAGAAUCAGGAUUUGAGGUACCCGGAGGAGGUUCGCAGCCAAAGUUCGGAAACGGCAGCGCCGAAGCGAACACGGAGAACGUCCCGACGUCCACGUACAACCGACGAUGGAUUUCGUCCGCUCGUCUUCCAAAAGCUAAGUGUCGCGGCCGGUAGUUGGGAGAAGGGGAAAAACCUUUACUAUCACGGGGGCAAUUUGAUGUCAGUUUAGCGCAGAGGUCCGUAGCGGGACGGGCUCUCCGGAAGCAAAGGGAGAGGGUUUCUCCUCAGCCUCACCACAGCCUUUGCCGGGCAGGGCAGUUCCGACCCAUCUCCACAUUGUCGUAAACUUUGCGUCGUCAGCCUCCUUCGACUCGACGUCGUCACGGAUCUUUCACCCGAGGAGUUCGCCUUCAGGUCCCCGAGGCUACCGAUUUUCCCCAGAAUCUACCAUUUGACAUCGAGGAGCAGCAGCCAGAGGAUGCAUCGAAGCACGUUCUCCAGCGUUUCAAGUAAGGGCCGCAGUGAGCAUCCAAGUUGGAAGAGUGUGAGAGCACGUGGCCGUCUGCGUCCGCUCGUCUCCGCUCGUGUGAGUGCAUGCUGACCGGAUCUAACCUUGUGUGUAUGACCUUUUGCUUUUCAGGUUUUUCAACUCAUUUUUAAAUUUAGAAUAAAAAAUCCCCAGCCGGGGGGUUUUUUUUUUUUUCCCCCCGGCUGGGUUUUUUUUUCCUCGGUCCCGGUCGGUCCGCGAGGCGACGUUCAUCGCCAAAGUUUGGGCGCGGACCGUCCAGGGGCCGGGGUUUUCGUCAGGCAGGAGGAUUUUUUGGAGGCUCCCGGGAACCACGUUCCCCAGGAGCCGUGCGAAUGUGUGCCGGUUGUUAGCAGAGUGAAUAAGAUGUGAGCAAUGGUGGGUUUGUGCGUAAGCUGAAGGAAGCGUGUGUGUGUGUGUGUUGAAGGGUUUUAACCUUGUAUGACUUUUGCCUUUCAGGUUUUUCAACUCAUUUUUAAAUUUAGAAUAAAAAAUCCCCAGCCGGGGGGGUUUUUUUUUUUUCCCCCCGGCUGGGUUUUUUUUUCCUCGGUCCCGGUCGGUCCGCGAGGCGACGUUCAUCGCCAAAGUUUGGGCGCGGACCGUCCAGGGGCCGGGGUUUUCGUCAGGCAGGAGGAUUUUUUGGAGGCUCCCGGGAACCACGUUCCCCAGGAGCCGUGCGAAUGUGUGCCGGUUGUUAGCAGAGUGAAUAAGAUGUGAGCAAUGGUGGGUUUGUGCGUAAGCUGAAGGAAGCGUGUGUGUGUGUGUGUUGAAGGGUUUUAACCUUGUAUGACUUUUGCCUUUCAGGUUUUUCAACUCAUUUUUAAAUUUAGAAUAAAAAAUCCCCAGCCGGGGGGUUUUUUUUUUUUUCCCCCCGGCUGGGUUUUUUUUUCCUCGGUCCCGGUCGGUCCGCGAGGCGACGUUCAUCGCCAAAGUUUGGGCGCGGACCGUCCAAGGACCGGGGUUUUCGUCAGGCAGGAGGAUUUUUUUGGAGGCUCCCGGGAACCGUGUUCCUGAGGAGCGCUGCGAAUGAGUGCCAGGGGUUAGCAGAGCUGUUGAGGUGUGAGCGAGGGCGGUUUUGUGUGUAAGCUGAAGGAAGUGUGUGUGUUGAAGGUUUCUAACACCUUGUAUGACUUUUGCCUUUCAGGUUUUUCAACUCAUUUUUAAAUUUAGAAUAAAAAAUCCCCAGCCGGGGGGUUUUUUUUUUUUCCCCCCGGCUGGGUUUUUUUUUCCUCGGUCCCGGUCGGUCCGCGAGGCGACGUUCAUCGCCAAAGUUUGGGCGCGGACCGUCCAGGGGCCGGGGUUUUCGUCAGGCAGGAGGAUUUUUUGGUGGCUCCCGGGAACCACGUUCCCGAGGACCAAAGAUUGCCAGUGUGUAAUUUAGCAGUUGCGCUUAGAGUGACGGUGAUUUUGUGUUGGAAGGGGGUGUUAAUGGUGGAUGAGCGUUGUUUUCAAUGUGCUUUUGUUGUUUUGGGUUUCCUGUAACAAUAAAUCAACCUGUAAUGAAAAAAUGAAAAAGGUUAUCAUAGUGUGCUGCUCUGUAUUGCUCUGUAUUGCUCUGUAUUGCUCUGUAUUGCUCUGUAUUGCUCUGUAUUGCUCUGUAUUGCUCUGUAUUGCUCUGUAUUGCAUUUCCCCGUAUUGCUCUGUAUUGCUCUGUAUUGCAUUUCCCCGUAUUGCUCUGUAUUGCUCUGUAUUGCAUUUCCCCGUAUUGCUCUGUAUUGCUCUGUAUUGCAUUUCCCCGUAUUGCUCUGUAUUGCUCUGUAUUGCAUUUCCCCGUAUUGCUCUGUAUUGCUCUGUAUUGCAUUUCCCCGUAUUGCUCUGUAUUGCUCUGUAUUGCAUUUCCCCGUAUUGCUCUGUAUUGCUCUGUAUUGCAUUUCCCCGUAUUGCUCUGUAUUGCUCUGUAUUGCAUUUCCCCGUAUUGCUCUGUAUUGCUCUGUAUUGCAUUUCCCCGUAUUGCUCUGUAUUGCUCUGUAUUGCUCUGUGUUGGCAUCAGCUGCUGCCUUUCCCCGUAUUGCUCUGUAUGUAAAUUAGACUUUUACCAGUGUGUCUAUAGAUUGUAUCCGUACUUGCAUUUGUAUAGACCGUUUCCAUGUAUUUUGCUGAAGUGUAAAUAAAAAUAUUCAUUUAAUAAA
Haemorhous mexicanus (house finch) is the source of this 4225-nucleotide long non-coding RNA. RefSeq lists it as uncharacterized. The transcript has 7 exons. NCBI's taxonomy places the organism in Eukaryota, Metazoa, Chordata, Aves, Passeriformes, Fringillidae. The record is from RefSeq and is a predicted model, not a curated record.